GCUGGGCAUGGUGGCGUGUGCCUGUAAUCCCAGCUACUCAGGAGGCUGAGGCAGGAGAAUUGCUUGAACCCAGGAGGCGGAGGUUGCGAUGAGCCGAGAUUGGGCCAUUGCAUUCCAGCCUGGGUAACAACAGCAAAACUCUGUCUCAA
Molecule: unclassified non-coding RNA, 149 nt
Organism: Callithrix jacchus (white-tufted-ear marmoset)
Lineage: Eukaryota; Metazoa; Chordata; Mammalia; Primates; Cebidae
Rfam family: Metazoan signal recognition particle RNA
About the family: The signal recognition particle (SRP) is a universally conserved ribonucleoprotein. It is involved in the co-translational targeting of proteins to membranes. The eukaryotic SRP consists of a 300-nucleotide 7S RNA and six proteins: SRPs 72, 68, 54, 19, 14, and 9.
Source: Ensembl